UUACGGAGUACAGAAGGCACAGAUAAAGC
Molecule: non-coding RNA, 29 nt
Filed under: Bombyx mori (domestic silkworm)
Lineage: Eukaryota; Metazoa; Arthropoda; Insecta; Lepidoptera; Bombycidae
Source: RNAcentral